GGGCGGAUAGCUCAGCUGGUUAGAGCGCCUCCCUUACAAGGAGGAGGUCGGGGGUUCGAGUCCCUCUCCGCCCA
RNAcentral lists this transfer RNA (74 nucleotides) under Caldilineae bacterium. Its description in RNAcentral is "tRNA-Val". It matches the Rfam family "tRNA". From Rfam's summary of the family: Transfer RNA (tRNA) molecules are approximately 80 nucleotides in length. Their secondary structure includes four short double-helical elements and three loops (D, anti-codon, and T loops). The record is from RNAcentral. Lineage: Bacteria; Bacillati; Chloroflexota; Caldilineae.